GGGUUGUGAGGUUAAGCGACUAAGCGUACACGGUGGAUGCCCUGGCAGUCAGAGGCGAUGAAGGACGUGCUAAUCUGCGAAAAGCGUCGGUAAGGUGAUAUGAACCGUUAUAACCGGCGAUGUCCGAAUGGGGAAACCCAGUGCAAUUCGUUGCACUAUCGUUAACUGAAUACAUAGGUUAACGAGGCGAACCGGGGGAACUGAAACAUCUAAGUACCCCGAGGAAAAGAAAUCAACCGAGAUUCCCCCAGUAGCGGCGAGCGAACGGGGAGCAGCCCAGAGUCUGAAUCAGCUUGUGUGUUAGUGGAACGGUCUGGAAAGUCCGACGGUACAGGGUGAUAGUCCCGUACACCAAAAUGCACAGGUUGUGAACUCGAAGAGUAGGGCGGGACACGUGGUAUCCUGUCUGAAUAUGGGGGGACCAUCCUCCAAGGCUAAAUACUCCUGACUGACCGAUAGUGAACCAGUACCGUGAGGGAAAGGCGAAAAGAACCCCGGCGAGGGGAGUGAAAAAGAACCUGAAACCGUGUACGUACAAGCAGUGGGAGCACCUUCGGGUGUGACUGCGUACCUUUUGUAUAAUGGGUCAGCGACUUAUAUUCUGUAGCAAGGUUAACCGUAUAGGGGAGCCGCAGGGAAACCGAGUCUUAACUGGGCGUUAAGUUGCAGGGUAUAGACCCGAAACCCGGUGAUCUAGCCAUGGGCAGGUUGAAGGUUGGGUAACACUAACUGGAGGACCGAACCGACUAAUGUUGAAAAAUUAGCGGAUGACUUGUGGCUGGGGGUGAAAGGCCAAUCAAACCGGGAGAUAGCUGGUUCUCCCCGAAAGCUAUUUAGGUAGCGCCUCGUGAAUUCAUCUCCGGGGGUAGAGCACUGUUUCGGCUAGGGGGUCAUCCCGACUUACCAACCCGAUGCAAACUACGAAUACCGAAGAAUGUUAUCACGGGAGACACACGGCGGGUGCUAACGUCCGUCGUGAAGAGGGAAACAACCCAGACCGCCAGCUAAGGUCCCAAAGUCAUGGUUAAGUGGGAAACGAUGUGGGAAGGCACAGACAGCCAGGAUGUUGGCUUAGAAGCAGCCAUCAUUUAAAGAAAGCGUAAUAGCUCACUGGUCGAGUCGGCCUGCGCGGAAGAUGUAACGGGGCUAAACCAUGCACCGAAGCUGCGGCAGCGACACUAUGUGUUGUUGGGUAGGGGAGCGUUCUGUAAGCCUGCGAAGGUGUGCUGUGAGGCAUGCUGGAGGUAUCAGAAGUGCGAAUGCUGACAUAAGUAACGAUAAAGCGGGUGAAAAGCCCGCUCGCCGGAAGACCAAGGGUUCCUGUCCAACGUUAAUCGGGGCAGGGUGAGUCGACCCCUAAGGCGAGGCCGAAAGGCGUAGUCGAUGGGAAACAGGUUAAUAUUCCUGUACUUGGUGUUACUGCGAAGGGGGGACGGAGAAGGCUAUGUUAGCCGGGCGACGGUUGUCCCGGUUUAAGCAUGUAGGCUGGUUGUCCAGGCAAAUCCGGAUAAUCAAGGCUGAGGUGUGAUGACGAGGCACUACGGUGCUGAAGUAACAAAUGCCCUGCUUCCAGGAAAAGCCUCUAAGCAUCAGGUAACAUCAAAUCGUACCCCAAACCGACACAGGUGGUCAGGUAGAGAAUACCAAGGCGCUUGAGAGAACUCGGGUGAAGGAACUAGGCAAAAUGGUGCCGUAACUUCGGGAGAAGGCACGCUGGUGUGUAGGUGAAGCCCCUGCGGGUGGAGCUGAGACCAGUCGAAGAUACCAGCUGGCUGCAACUGUUUAUUAAAAACACAGCACUGUGCAAACACGAAAGUGGACGUAUACGGUGUGACGCCUGCCCGGUGCCGGAAGGUUAAUUGAUGGGGUUAUCCGUAAGGAGAAGCUCUUGAUCGAAGCCCCGGUAAACGGCGGCCGUAACUAUAACGGUCCUAAGGUAGCGAAAUUCCUUGUCGGGUAAGUUCCGACCUGCACGAAUGGCGUAAUGAUGGCCAGGCUGUCUCCACCCGAGACUCAGUGAAAUUGAACUCGCUGUGAAGAUGCAGUGUACCCGCGGCAAGACGGAAAGACCCCGUGAACCUUUACUAUAGCUUGACACUGAACAUUGAGCCUUGAUGUGUAGGAUAGGUGGGAGGCUUUGAAGCGUGGACGCCAGUCUGCGUGGAGCCAACCUUGAAAUACCACCCUUUAAUGUUUGAUGUUCUAACGUUGGCCCCUGACCGGGGUUGCGGACAGUGUCUGGUGGGUAGUUUGACUGGGGCGGUCUCCUCCCAAAGCGUAACGGAGGAGCACGAAGGUUAGCUAAUCCUGGUCGGACAUCAGGAGGUUAGUGCAAUGGCAUAAGCUAGCUUGACUGCGAGCGUGACGGCGCGAGCAGGUGCGAAAGCAGGUCAUAGUGAUCCGGUGGUUCUGAAUGGAAGGGCCAUCGCUCAACGGAUAAAAGGUACUCCGGGGAUAACAGGCUGAUACCGCCCAAGAGUUCAUAUCGACGGCGGUGUUUGGCACCUCGAUGUCGGCUCAUCACAUCCUGGGGCUGAAGUAGGUCCCAAGGGUAUGGCUGUUCGCCAUUUAAAGUGGUACGCGAGCUGGGUUUAGAACGUCGUGAGACAGUUCGGUCCCUAUCUGCCGUGGGCGCUGGAGAAUUGAGGGGGGCUGCUCCUAGUACGAGAGGACCGGAGUGGACGCAUCACUGGUGUUCGGGUUGUCAUGCCAAUGGCACUGCCCGGUAGCUAAAUGCGGAAGAGAUAAGUGCUGAAAGCAUCUAAGCACGAAACUUGCCCCGAGAUGAGUUCUCCCUGAGACUUUAAGUCUCCUGAAGGAACGUUAAAGACGAUGACGUUGAUAGGCCGGGUGUGUAAGCGCAGCGAUGCGUUGAGCUAACCGGUACUAAUGAACCGUGAGGCUUAACCUUACAACGCCGAAG
This 2923-nucleotide ribosomal RNA is filed under the name Klebsiella pneumoniae. Its description in RNAcentral is "bacterial LSU rRNA". It matches the Rfam family "Bacterial large subunit ribosomal RNA". The record is from RNAcentral. Lineage: Bacteria; Pseudomonadati; Pseudomonadota; Gammaproteobacteria; Enterobacterales; Enterobacteriaceae.